This 947-nucleotide ribosomal RNA is filed under the name Streptomyces sp. DBT34. Its description in RNAcentral is "bacterial SSU rRNA". It matches the Rfam family "Bacterial small subunit ribosomal RNA", at positions 61 to 1021 of the family's 1533-position model. The record is from RNAcentral. Lineage: Bacteria; Bacillati; Actinomycetota; Actinomycetes; Kitasatosporales; Streptomycetaceae.
GUCGACGAUGAACCACUUCGGUGGGGAUUAGUGGCGAACGGGUGAGUAACACGUGGGCAAUCUGCCCUGCACUCUGGGACAAGCCCUGGAAACGGGGUCUAAUACCGGAUAUUGACCUUCACGGGCAUCUGUGAGGUUCGAAAGCUCCGGCGGUGCAGGAUGAGCCCGCGGCCUAUCAGCUUGUUGGUGAGGUAAUGGCUCACCAAGGCGACGACGGGUAGCCGGCCUGAGAGGGCGACCGGCCACACUGGGACUGAGACACGGCCCAGACUCCUACGGGAGGCAGCAGUGGGGAAUAUUGCACAAUGGGCGAAAGCCUGAUGCAGCGACGCCGCGUGAGGGAUGACGGCCUUCGGGUUGUAAACCUCUUUCAGCAGGGAAGAAGCGAAAGUGACGGUACCUGCAGAAGAAGCGCCGGCUAACUACGUGCCAGCAGCCGCGGUAAUACGUAGGGCGCAAGCGUUGUCCGGAAUUAUUGGGCGUAAAGAGCUCGUAGGCGGCUUGUCACGUCGGUUGUGAAAGCCCGGGGCUUAACCCCGGGUCUGCAGUCGAUACGGGCAGGCUAGAGUUCGGUAGGGGAGAUCGGAAUUCCUGGUGUAGCGGUGAAAUGCGCAGAUAUCAGGAGGAACACCGGUGGCGAAGGCGGAUCUCUGGGCCGAUACUGACGCUGAGGAGCGAAAGCGUGGGGAGCGAACAGGAUUAGAUACCCUGGUAGUCCACGCCGUAAACGGUGGGCACUAGGUGUGGGCAACAUUCCACGUUGUCCGUGCCGCAGCUAACGCAUUAAGUGCCCCGCCUGGGGAGUACGGCCGCAAGGCUAAAACUCAAAGGAAUUUGACGGGGGCCCGCACAAGCGGCGGAGCAUGUGGCUUAUUUCGACGCAACGCGAAGAACCUUACCAAGGCUUGACAUACACCGGAAACGGCCAGAGAUGGUCGCCCCCUUGU